RNAcentral lists this ribosomal RNA (497 nucleotides) under uncultured bacterium. RNAcentral describes it as "partial 16S ribosomal RNA". It matches the Rfam family "Bacterial small subunit ribosomal RNA", at positions 28 to 507 of the family's 1533-position model. The record is from RNAcentral.
GAUGAACGCUGGCGGCGUGCCUAGUACAUGCAAGUCGAGCGAACGGACGAGUAGCUUGCUUCUCUGAUGUUAGCGGCGGACGUGUGAGUAACACGUGGAUAACCUACCUAUAAGACUGGGAUAACUUCGGGAAACCGGAGCUAAUACCGGAUAAUAUUUUGAACCGCAUGGUUCAAAAGUGAAAGACGGUCUUGCUGUCACUUAUAGAUGGAUCCGCGCUGCAUUAGCUAGUUGGUAAGGUAACGGCUUACCAAGGCAACGAUGCAUAGCCGACCUGAGAGGGUGAUCGGCCACGAUGGAACGGAGACACGGACCAGAAUCCAGAGGGAGGCAGAAGUAGGGAAUCUGCCGGAAGUGGCGAAAGUCUGACGGAGGAACGAAGCGUGAUGGAUGAGGGUCUUCGGAUCGAAAAACGCUGUUAGUAGGGAAGAACAUAUGUGUAAGGAACUGUGCACAUCUUGACGGUACCAAAUCAGAAAGCCACGGCUAACUACGUG